MicroRNA precursor from Gorilla gorilla gorilla (western lowland gorilla), 84 nucleotides. It matches the Rfam family "mir-548 microRNA precursor family". NCBI's taxonomy places the organism in Eukaryota, Metazoa, Chordata, Mammalia, Primates, Hominidae. The record is from Rfam.
UAUUAGGUUGGUGCAAAAGUAACUGCGGCUUUUGCCAUUGAAAGUAAUGGUAAAAGCUGCAAUUACUUUUGUACCAACCUAACA